Podarcis lilfordi (Lilford's wall lizard) is the source of this 71-nucleotide non-coding RNA. Lineage: Eukaryota; Metazoa; Chordata; Lepidosauria; Squamata; Lacertidae. The record is from the annotation of a GenBank genome assembly.
GGGCCAUAGCUUAGUGGUAUAGCAUCUGCUUUCUAUGCAGAAGUUUCCAGGUUCAAUCCUCGUCAUUUCCA